GACAGAGGGUGCAAACGUUGUUCGGAAUUACUGGGCGUAAAGCGAGUGUAGGCGGUCCUCUAAGUCGGGUGUGAAAGCCCCGGGCUCAACCCGGGAAGUGCACUCGAAACUGGAGGGCUAGAGUAUCGGAGAGGUUGGUGGAAUUCUCGGUGUAGAGGUGAAAUUCGUAGAUAUCGGGAGGAACACCAGUGGCGAAGGCGACUACCUGGCCUGUUCUUGACGCUGAGGCGCGAAAGCUAGGGGAGCAAACGGG
Molecule: ribosomal RNA, 253 nt
Filed under: uncultured bacterium
Lineage: Bacteria
Description: partial 16S ribosomal RNA
Rfam family: Bacterial small subunit ribosomal RNA
Source: RNAcentral